RNAcentral lists this ribosomal RNA (332 nucleotides) under uncultured eukaryote. RNAcentral's name for it is "partial 18S ribosomal RNA". It matches the Rfam family "Eukaryotic small subunit ribosomal RNA", at positions 1470 to 1796 of the family's 1831-position model. The record is from RNAcentral.
CCCUUAGAUGUCCUGGGCUGCACGCGCGCUACACUGGAAGUUACGGAUUGAGAUACUACCUUGUCCGAAAUGGUCCGGGUAAUCACCUAAAAGCUUGUCAUAAUUGGAAUGGAUUAUUGUAACUAGUAAUCCUGAACGAGGAAUUCCUAGUAAGUCCCAGUCAACAGCUGGUACUGAUUACGUCCCUGCCCUUUGUACACACCGCCCGUCGCUACUACUGAUUGGACGUUUAAGCAAGAUUUUUAAACACUGCCAGUGUGUAGUUCACGCUAUACUACAGUGAGAAGAAGAAGAUCGAGCUUACUUGUCUAGAGGAAGUAAAAGUCGUAACA